GUGGGGAAUUUUGGACAAUGGGCGCAAGCCUGAUCCAGCGACGCCGCGUGGAGGACGAAGGCCUUCGGGUUGUAAACUCCUUUUGGAGGGGAAGAAUAAAUUGACGGUACCCUCAGAAAAAGCCACGGCUAACUACGUGCCAGCAGCCGCGGUAAUACGUAGGUGGCGAGCGUUACUCGGAAUUACUAGGCGUAAAGCGUAUGUAGGUGGUUAGAUAAGUCUAUGGUGAAAGUUCCUGGCUUAACUGGGAAGGGACAUAGAUACUAUCUGGCUUGAGUGUGGGAGGGGGAGACGGAAUUCCGGGUGUAGCGGUGAAAUGCGUAGAUAUCAGGAGGAACACCGAUGGCGAAAGCAGUCUCCUGGCCCAAUACUGACACUGAGGUACGAAAGCUAGGGUAGCAAACAGGAUUAGAAACCCUGGUAGUCC
RNAcentral lists this ribosomal RNA (427 nucleotides) under uncultured bacterium. RNAcentral's name for it is "partial 16S ribosomal RNA". It matches the Rfam family "Bacterial small subunit ribosomal RNA", at positions 354 to 796 of the family's 1533-position model. The record is from RNAcentral.